RNAcentral lists this ribosomal RNA (154 nucleotides) under Arivela microaustralica. Its description in RNAcentral is "Cleome microaustralica 5.8S ribosomal RNA". It matches the Rfam family "5.8S ribosomal RNA". From Rfam's summary of the family: 5.8S ribosomal RNA (5.8S rRNA) is a component of the large subunit of the eukaryotic ribosome. It is transcribed by RNA polymerase I as part of the 45S precursor that also contains 18S and 28S rRNA. Lineage: Eukaryota; Viridiplantae; Streptophyta; Magnoliopsida; Brassicales; Cleomaceae. The record is from RNAcentral.
AAACGACUCUCGGCAACGGAUAUCUCGGCUCUCGCAUCGAUGAAGAACGUAGCGAAAUGCGAUACUUGGUGUGAAUUGCAGAAUCCCGUGAACCAUCGAGUCUUUGAACGCAAGUUGCCCCCCAAGCCGUCAGGCCGAGGGCACGUCUGCCUGG